Molecule: small RNA, 28 nt
Filed under: Bombyx mori (domestic silkworm)
Lineage: Eukaryota; Metazoa; Arthropoda; Insecta; Lepidoptera; Bombycidae
Description: ovarian small RNA-32292
Source: RNAcentral
UGAGUUAAUAAACUUGGUAGGUAGGUGA